Long non-coding RNA from Toxorhynchites rutilus septentrionalis, 721 nucleotides. RefSeq lists it as uncharacterized. NCBI's taxonomy places the organism in Eukaryota, Metazoa, Arthropoda, Insecta, Diptera, Culicidae. The transcript is spliced from 2 exons. The record is from RefSeq and is a predicted model, not a curated record.
GCGUAGCACAAUUUGUGUCAGUUGGUUAAGCGCUCGUAUCUUAUCAACUUGAAAUUUUUCUUUGCAAUAUAACUCGAUGUUGUCCUCAAAACGGUUGUGCUUCAUACUGAUCGUAUGUUCGGCACUGAUCGUCUCGUCGCAAAGAAGGCGUACAUCUAGCCCAGAAAUACAGGCUCUUUUAAAAGAUUUUAAGCAAAAAAUUUUUGACGACUUUCGCCGUCGAAAUGGGCUCAAUGGAACUACACCAUCUAACAUUACCGAUUCCAGUAGUUCAUCUAACACCACCAGUUCUCCUAUUAGAAAAAGAUAAUUCAAAAACUGGUUAUAUGACAUUCAAUUAAACUCGGCUAUAUUUUGAAAACUCCCUGUAAAUCAUAUAAUUUCGUAUUAAAAUAUCGUGAUGUGACCCAGCCUUCUGGGGAAAUAAAGAAUUAAUAUAAAAGCUCCUUCAGACCAAAAAAUGCAUGAAAGUGAGAUGAAUGCGAGUAAAAAUCACAACGCAACAAAACAGGCCCAUCAGUUUAAACAACCAUAAUAAGGCAACCAGAAGAAGGAAAAAACAAAACAACAACACGAAGCGUAAGGAGUGGUGGUGGGGGUUAUGCAAAAUUAAGAGCACUCUCUGCGAAACACUGAAAAUGAGCAUCCCAAAACUGUAUGAAUGAAGGAAAAGAGACACACCGGCAAUAAAAUAUAUUGAAGUGAAUUUUAAUGAAUAUUA